CCGAGUUUCACUCGAAUAUACAUCACAAAAAGGAAGAAAAGACUAUCACAACUUCUGUUUCAUGUCAACUUUAAGGGUCUGAUGUCAUGUUUUUGUUUCCACACAUUGACCACAAGUUUGUUUGCCACUAGCUUUAAGAAGAAGACGAGUGCUGACUACAUCUACAACGAACAAGAAACAAGAUCAUUUAAUGUUUGACGGUUAAAGAGCAGAAAUGUCUGAUGGUAUUUAUGAAGAUGUGAUCAGGACUGAGUCUGAGGGAAUGAACACAGACAGAGUGGAGAUGAUGGUGGAAAUCUAUGAGAGUGCAGAAUGUGUGAGAGAUCAUGACUUCAGGACAGAGACAAACACACUCCAACCACUUCAGCGUACAGGAAGUGUUUGUGUGAAGAUCAGAAGCUCCAGAGCAGCUGCAGUGUGUUUGGUGCUGCUGUGUGUUCUUCUGCUGACUGCAGUCAUAGUGCUGUGUGUCACGUUCACUCUAGAGAGACGACAGUUAAUAUCCAAGAAUGAAAACCUUCAAAUGAGUCUUGGUAAACUGGAUGGAUGGAUUUAUUAUCAAUCCAGUCUUUACUUCAUUUCCUCUGAGAAGAGGAACUGGGCUGAGAGCAGAAGAUACUGUACAGAGAGAGGAGCAGAUCUGAUCAUCAUAAACAACAGAGAGGAACACGAAUUUGUCAGUAACAGUUCUGAUAGUGUCUGGAUUGGUCUGACUGACAGUGAUGUAGAGGGCAGAUGGAAAUGGGUUGAUGGCAGCGCACUGACCUCUGGAAAGCAGCACUGAACAUCUAAUGCUGAUCUGUUCUAGCAGGUUCUGGGCGUCUGGAGAGCCUAAUAAUUACAGAGGUGAUGAAGACUGUGCUUUGACUCUUCAACAGGAUGGAAUGAUUAUCCAUGUAAAAAAGCAUUAAGAUGGAUCUGUGAGAAGAUUAUUUUUAAAUGACACAUUUCAAUAAAUAUGUGAGCAGAGUGUAUUAUGAACACACAAGCAACUAUAAUAAUGUAAUAAAGCCAAAUGUAAUAACUGCACAUAAUGUAAUGAGUAUUACAUUACUAAUAACUUAAAACAUAAAAAACUAUUAGUCAUCUACAAAAAAAAUGCAUCUCUAUAGAGAAUCAUAUCACUAAAAUUAUAGUUUUUGUAGGAAAUAAAAAAAGUUAUGACAAUCAUUUAAAUUUUUAUUUCUCAAAAAUGAUUACAAAUGUAUAAUGACAGUUAGAAAGCAGAAGCUUUAUUUUAUUAAUUUAGUGUAUAAAACUUAAAAUGUGUUUCAACUCAAAUUGAUGGAGCACAUCAUAAUCACAAAGUUAGUAAAGUCUUUAUGAAAUUGUUGAGUUCACAAUGCAGCCUAAUAAGCCGACUUUUCUUUUAAUGUAAUAGUUUGAUUACUCUUUAUUUUAAGAUGUCUUAGAGUGAAAUUAUACAUUUAAGUACUGAGUAAUAUCAAUAACAACAUGUACUUACUAUAUGGUUAGGAACAGAGUUUGGUUUAGGGUUAGUUUCGUGUAUAAUUUAAUUAUGCAUAACUUACUGUUAUAGUACUGUAAAAUAAAGUAUUACUGCUAGUUUUACAUUAAACUAUUAUUAAACUAUAAUUGUGCUGAAAUGUAUUAAUAUCAAAUGUAUUACAGUGAACUGUCAUUACAUUGAAAGUUGCUAUAGUGUGUUCAUUAUAUAAUAAAUUUCUCCUACAAAAACCUGAUAUGUGAAAUUAUCACAUUGAAAAAUCAUUACAUGAGCUUAAGAUAUUUUUUUUUUUUAGAAAAUGACUACAUUUAUGAAGAAUUUAUUACAUUAAUAAUGUAAUACUUAUUACAUUGUGCAUUUAUUACAUUACGCUUUAUUAUAUUAUGAGCUGAACUCCUAAAUCACAAUUACUGUGACUUAAAUUCAUGUUACUGUUUGAAAGGCACUUUUCUUUAUUAUGCUGUUCUGUAAUAAACUAAAUGUAAUAUUAAAGCUUUAAAAUUGAA
Ctenopharyngodon idella (grass carp) is the source of this 1974-nucleotide long non-coding RNA. RefSeq lists it as uncharacterized. The record is from RefSeq and is a predicted model, not a curated record. The transcript is spliced from 5 exons. Lineage: Eukaryota; Metazoa; Chordata; Actinopteri; Cypriniformes; Xenocyprididae.